UAUUGCACAAUGGGGGAAACCCUGAUGCAGCAACGCCGCGUGAGUGAAGAAGUAUUUCGGUAUGUAAAGCUCUAUCAGCAGGGAAGAAGAAAGACGGUACCUGACUAAGAAGCUCCGGCUAAAUACGUGCCAGCAGCCGCGGUAAUACGUAGGGGGCAAGCGUUAUCCGGAUUCACUGGGUGUAAAGGGAGCGUAGACGGCGAGACAAGUCUGGAGUGAAAGGCCGGGGCCCAACCCCGGGACUGCUCUGGAAACUGCCUGGCUGGAGUACAGGAGAGGUAAGUGGAAUUCCUAGUGUAGCGGUGAAAUGCGUAGAUAUUAGGAGGAACACCGGUGGCGAAGGCGGCCUGCUGGACUGCGACUGACGUUGAGGCCCGAAAGCGUGGGGAGCAAACAGG
RNAcentral lists this ribosomal RNA (398 nucleotides) under uncultured bacterium. RNAcentral describes it as "bacterial SSU rRNA". It matches the Rfam family "Bacterial small subunit ribosomal RNA", at positions 362 to 776 of the family's 1533-position model. The record is from RNAcentral.